UGAGGGUGAGCUCUUUAUUAUUGUAAUUUUUUGGAACAUGUACUAAUGACUUGUUUUCCUUCCUUGUCUGUUUUUCGGACGAAUUUACUGCAAUCCCGUCUAAUUGAAUAGCAAAGAUAAUGGCGGCGUAGCAUUCGUACGUGUACACUGCGUCGUUAAACUUGACAUUGUCGGUCGGAAAGCCGAACUUGACGAUGGCCGUCCCAUAAGCCUACGACAAGUGCCUUAUUGCCACAGGUGGUAAACAAAAAUCUUUUCCAAUCCCUGAGCGCUGCCCUCAAAGAUGUCCACGAGCACGUAAUGCUGUUCCGCAAAAUCGAUGGCGGUAACAUAGGCCGAGUCCUCCCUAAAUAUUUGAGCCAAUGGACUUCCGAGAAGGUGAAAGCGCAAGGUGUCUAAUGUGUUGCCCAAAGCUAAUGUUUAGGGUGCAAUUUUGGAAGACUACAAGGUCGCAUUGAUCUUAAACGAUGGUCAAAAGAUUUAAACUGACCAUGUCGUCGCUGUUGUCGGUUGGGACGCAAACUUACGGAUUUGGCUGUCGUUUCUGGUUUGGAAAUAGAUUCCAAUUUUGGUGGUUAUCGAGUCAAUACCGAGGUUGAAGCACGAUCGAACGUCUGGUUGGCUGGAGAUGUUGCGUUCGUUUGUGAUAUCAAAUUGGGUCGUUAUCGUACGGAACAUCAUCACUUUGCUGUCGUAUCAGGGCGAUUGGCUGGAGAGAACAAUACUGGCAACGAAACAUGGAUGAACAACUGCAGUGCACUGUCACCAAGUUCAUUCUUCGUCGUAUUAUCAGUACGCAAUCGGUGUCGUGCUGUUUCCGUUUGUCGUAUCGUUGAAGGUUGGGUCGAUCACUGGUGUACUCAUGGCUCCUGGGUAUGGCGGAUACCAAAGCACCACGCCGCCGCCUUGCUACACAACGAAAACAUUCGCACCAACCGGUUACUACACUGAGGGCCACAAUUACUACACCAUCAAGGCUCCAGA
This is an RNA transcript of Daphnia pulicaria, 984 nucleotides long. RefSeq lists it as uncharacterized. The record is from RefSeq and is a predicted model, not a curated record. Lineage: Eukaryota; Metazoa; Arthropoda; Branchiopoda; Diplostraca; Daphniidae. The transcript is spliced from 5 exons.